GCCUGGGUGGCUCAGGCAGUUAAGCGUCUGACUUUGGCUCAGGUCAUGAUCUCGCGGUUCACAGGUUCAAGCCCUGUGCUGGGCU
This 85-nucleotide transfer RNA is filed under the name Felis catus (domestic cat). It matches the Rfam family "tRNA". From Rfam's summary of the family: Transfer RNA (tRNA) molecules are approximately 80 nucleotides in length. Their secondary structure includes four short double-helical elements and three loops (D, anti-codon, and T loops). Lineage: Eukaryota; Metazoa; Chordata; Mammalia; Carnivora; Felidae. The record is from Rfam by way of RNAcentral. RNAcentral also lists the same sequence under 2 other names.